AUUCAAACGGAGGGAUUAGAAAUGAUUGAUAGUCCACCAGAGAAGUUCAUUAGAUUGGUUUAAGCAGCCAAUUGUUUACUAUUACACAUAACUAAGUUAAGAGGUUGAUUACUAAAGUCAGUAGUCAAUCUUUUUUUUC
Non-coding RNA from Prochlorococcus marinus, 139 nucleotides. The record is from Rfam. Lineage: Bacteria; Bacillati; Cyanobacteriota; Cyanophyceae; Synechococcales; Prochlorococcaceae.